RNAcentral lists this long non-coding RNA (912 nucleotides) under Gossypium raimondii (Peruvian cotton). RNAcentral describes it as "long non-coding RNA (GRAI_LNC010492)". Lineage: Eukaryota; Viridiplantae; Streptophyta; Magnoliopsida; Malvales; Malvaceae. The record is from RNAcentral.
AAAUAAAAAUAAAAAAAUAAAAAAACUUGAUUCCUCUGCUAGGGUUUCAACCCUAGCUUCUACGCCACCGCGCCUCUGCCGUGAUCCCACCGUGGAAGGUGGUCGGAGUCGCACCCCAAAGGGCUUAUUGGCUCUUUUUGCGUAGAUUGAAGGCGUCGCCAGGUAUUUCCCCUACUUUCCCUUUACUUUUUGUAUUACAAUAAAUCAAAUCGAAGAAAAGAGGAAACGAAGGAUAUAAAUUACUACCUUUUAAUCUAUUUUCCUUUCUUUUUUUUUCUGAAUUUCUGUUUGUGAUUUUUAUUCUCUGCUUGUAUACUAUGUUUUGCUGUGAAUAUAAUCAUAUUUUUAUUGAUUUCGAAAAUCCGGAUCCCCUAUUACAAUAUUACAAUGGCUAUUUUAUAGUCGUAUGAAAUAAAUCUAAAAAGGAAACAAAUCUGUUUUUUGAUUUGAUUUACAAAUAUUUUGAUUCACUUUCCAUUUUCGUUUUUCCUUGAUGCGCAGGUGAAGACCGAGGACGCUCGUGGCUGCGGCGCAAAGGCUUCCUCAGAAACCCUAAGGUUUCUGCAAAUGAUUUGGGCCACUGAGCUUUGGGCCCCUGUUGUAUUUCGGGUUUUGGACCACAUAAGCCCAUUUGUAAUUCUGACCCUUUAGACCCGGGCCAAAAUAGGGUGUUACAGAUGUAUUUCAAAUUUCACGACACUUUCCUAAACUUGUUUAUGAUUUUUUUUAAUUCGGAAAAAUUCUCAAAUUUAAUUUGAGUAACAUAAUUAUAAAUUAUAAUACUUUUUAGAUACAAAUGAAGACACAAAUUAAGUGCCAAAAUCUUACAUCGACUCUCAACACUGUCCAAUUGGAAUUUAUUUAUACUUGGAAGACGCUUUUUGAUGUUUGAGUAAAGGGUUUUUAGUUAUU